UUACGGCCAUAUCACUUUUGAAACAUCGGUUCUCGUUCGUAAACCGAAGUUAAGAAAGGUCGAGCCUGGUCAGUACCUAGGUGGGUGACUACUUGGGAUUAUCAGGUACUGUAAG
Non-coding RNA from Acanthosepion pharaonis, 115 nucleotides. The record is from the annotation of a GenBank genome assembly. NCBI's taxonomy places the organism in Eukaryota, Metazoa, Mollusca, Cephalopoda, Sepiida, Sepiidae.